GACUACCAUUGCUGGUGGCCUUAUGCUCCUAAACAUCCAUGCUAAUCCAAACCAGAAAUAGUAACAUAUGAAUAAUUUGCAUCCCAAAAAGCUGGAAGCGACUUGGUUUAGAAAAGCAAAGUAAUUUACGGGUAAAAAGCAAUAGACGAUGUUCAACAAAAAAAGAAAAGAAAAGGAGAGGGUGGCAUGAUUUUUUGAAAAAGAAACGGGAUAAAAGAAGAGAAUAUUGUCAUAAAGAAAGAUUGAUUGUAGUUCGAUUGGUGCACAAGUUCCACCUCUUGGGACUUGGUCAUUCGCAUGUGAUAACUAUACUCAAUAGUCAAUAACAAC
RNAcentral lists this long non-coding RNA (330 nucleotides) under Brassica rapa (field mustard). Its description in RNAcentral is "long non-coding RNA (BRAP_LNC000972)". Lineage: Eukaryota; Viridiplantae; Streptophyta; Magnoliopsida; Brassicales; Brassicaceae. The record is from RNAcentral.